Molecule: ribosomal RNA, 790 nt
Filed under: uncultured Bacillota bacterium
Lineage: Bacteria; Bacillati; Bacillota
Description: bacterial SSU rRNA
Rfam family: Bacterial small subunit ribosomal RNA
Source: RNAcentral
GGAUCCAGACUUUGAUUCUGGCUCAGGAUGAACGCUGAGCGGCGCAUUUAAGACAUGCAAGUCGAACGAAAAUUUACGCUUAAAGAGUUGAUUAGUUUACUAAGAGAUGAUUUAUUGUAAAUUUUAGUGGCGGACUGGUGAGUAAUACAUAGGUAAUCUGCCUCUUAGAGGGGAAUAACUAGGAGAAAUCCUAGCUAAUACCGCGUAAGACCACACUUAGGCAUCUAAGAGAGGUCAAAGGAGUAAUCCGCUAAAAGAUGAGCCUGUGGCUGAUUAGUUAGUUGGUGGGGUAAGAGCCUACCAAGACGAUGAUCAGUAGCCGAGCUGAGAGGCUGGCCGGCCACAUUGGGACUGAGAUACGGCCCAGACUCCUACGGGAGGCAGCAGUUGGGAAUAUUGGACAAUGGAGGAAACUCUGAUCCAGUGACGCCGCGUGAAGGAAGAAGGUCUUCGGAUUGUAAACUUAUUUUAUCAGGGAAGAAGAAAGUGACAGUACCUGAAGAAAAAGGACCGGCAAACUACGUGCCAGCAGCCGCGGUAAUACGUAGGGUCCAAGCGUUAUCCGGAUUUACUGGGUGUAAAGGGCGAGUAGACGGCGCUGUAAGUCAGCUGUGAAAACUUAGGGCUCAACCUUAAGCCUGCAGCUGAAACUGUAGUGCUAGAGUGCAGGAGAGGUAAGCGGAAUUCCUAGUGUAGCGGUGAAAUGCGUAGAUAUUAGGAGGAACACCAGUGGCGAAGGCGGCUUACUGGACUGUAACUGACGUUGAGGCGCGAAAGUGUGGGGAGCAAA